GAUGAACGCUGACAGAAUGCUUAACACAUGCAAGUCUUUGGCGAAGCUGUGCUUGCACAGCCUAGCCAAGGCGGACGGGUGAGUAACGCGUAAGGAACUUGCCCUGCAGUCAGGGAUAACAGACGGAAACGACUGAUAAGACCUGGUAAAGUCAGGCGGACUCAUGUCCAGCCUGAUGAAAAGAGAUGCUGCGGGAGAGCCUUGCGUCCUAUUAGCUUGUUGGUGGGGUAACGGCCCACCAAGGCGAUGAUAGGUAGCCGGCCUGAGAGGGUGGACGGCCAAGAGGGGAAUGAGAUACGGCACUGACGACUACGGGAGGAAGCAGUGGAGCAUAAUGGAGAAUGGGGGCAACGCUGAUGCAGCAAUUCUGUGUGCACGAUGAAGGUUUUCGGAGUGUAAAGUGCUUUCAGCAGGGAAGAAAAAAAUGACGGUACCUGCAGAAGAAGCGACGGCUAAAUACGUG
Molecule: ribosomal RNA, 463 nt
Filed under: uncultured bacterium
Lineage: Bacteria
Description: partial 16S ribosomal RNA
Rfam family: Bacterial small subunit ribosomal RNA
Source: RNAcentral